RNAcentral lists this ribosomal RNA (447 nucleotides) under uncultured bacterium. Its description in RNAcentral is "bacterial SSU rRNA". It matches the Rfam family "Bacterial small subunit ribosomal RNA", at positions 355 to 825 of the family's 1533-position model. The record is from RNAcentral.
UGGGGAAUCUUGGACAAUGGGCGCAAGCCUGAUCCAGCCAUGCCGCGUGGAUGAUGAAGGCCUUAGGGUUGUAAAAUCCUUUCGUUGGGGACGAUAAUGACGGUACCCAAAGAAGAAGCUCCGGCUAACUUCGUGCCAGCAGCCGCGGUAAUACGAAGGGGGCUAGCGUUGUUCGGAUUUACUGGGCGUAAAGCGCGUGUAGGCGGACUUGUAAGUUGGGGGUGAAAUCCCGAGGCUCAACCUCGGAACUGCCUCCAAAACUACAAAUCUGGACCUAAGUAGAGGCAAGUGGAAUUGCGAGUGUAGAGGUGAAAUUCGUAGAUAUUCGCAGGAACACCAGUGGCGAAGGCGACUUGCUGGACUUAUGGUGACGCUGAGACGCGAAAGCGUGGGGAGCAAACAGGAUUAGAUACCCCAGUAGUCCCUGAGCGGGCUGGCAAGGCGCAU